AAGUAUCCUUUUAGGUGUCAUUUCUAUAGUUUGCUAGAGAGAUGGUUUUGAAAGUGCUUGGUCUUGCCUGCCACAGGGAAGAGGUUGAAUCCUUUUUUCUAAACAUGACGUAGGUAGUUGACUGUAUUUGUGUAGUUUUCUAUUAUUGAUGACUGCGUGUGCUAGCCUGUUCAGCAGUUAGCACCAUGAAGAAAGCAUAAUCUGAGUGAU
Protopterus annectens (West African lungfish) is the source of this 210-nucleotide small nucleolar RNA. RefSeq annotates it as small nucleolar RNA U3. Lineage: Eukaryota; Metazoa; Chordata; Ceratodontiformes; Protopteridae. The transcript has a single exon. The record is from RefSeq and is a predicted model, not a curated record.